AUUAACUCAUUGGCCAAGUGAUGAAAAGAAGGGGAUGAAGAUGAAAGGGAGGGAAAGAGAAUACAAGUAUCAAAUUCAAUUGAUCAAAUGUGAACCAAGUCAUCAUCAAUCAAUGCUAAACAGAAAAGAAAUGAAGAUUACAAGUCAACCAUAAUUUAUUUAUUUUUUAUAUUUUUUGAAUUAAAAUAAAAUGUAAAUAAAAAUAAUGAAAAUAAGGUCAAACCUCAAAUUUAAUUCAAAUCAACUUCAACA
RNAcentral lists this long non-coding RNA (252 nucleotides) under Lathyrus oleraceus (garden pea). Its description in RNAcentral is "Pisum sativum (pea) long non-coding RNA (PSAT_LNC012802)". Lineage: Eukaryota; Viridiplantae; Streptophyta; Magnoliopsida; Fabales; Fabaceae. The record is from RNAcentral.